ACCGACUUUCUUCUUUGUGGUGUUCUCAUUUUGAGGGCUAUGUCCCAAGAAGAGGGUGGAGAAGGAUGCAGAUUGAAGUGAAACUAGGUAGAGAAGAUGAUUUUUGGAAAGUUUCUCACAGAUUUGAGGGUUAGGGUUUGGAAUUUGGGGAAAUCAAGAAAAUGAGCCAUGAGAGCAAUAAAUUUGGGGAGAGUAGAUCUUGGUUUUGAGAGAUUUUGGGGUUUUUGGGAGAUCUAAGAUGAGGUUCCUAGGUUGGGAUGAGAGGAAGAAGAGUCAUUGGAUUUGAGAUGUCUCGAAAUCCCUUUUUAAUAGAAUAGGGUUCAGGUCGGCUCACUUAAAGAGAGCCUACCCGCAUGAAUGGGAUGCCCCAUCUAGGGCUGUAUCAGGAGAUGGAGAAAUUAUUUAAAAAAAGAAGAAAAAUUCAAAAUAAAAAAUUUGAAAUUGGUCAUAUCGAGUUGAGAGGAUUAUUGGGAGUCUAAAUAAAUUUUUAUAUAAUUUUUGAUUGAAUAUUUCAAUAAAAAAAAUUGAAGAAGGUAUCUGAAUAGCAUUGAUGAUUUUUAAUUAUCUUGAAAAAUUUUGAAAAAAUGAUAGAUGAC
This 596-nucleotide long non-coding RNA is filed under the name Elaeis guineensis (African oil palm). Its description in RNAcentral is "long non-coding RNA (EGUI_LNC071070)". The record is from RNAcentral. Lineage: Eukaryota; Viridiplantae; Streptophyta; Magnoliopsida; Arecales; Arecaceae.